Molecule: ribosomal RNA, 503 nt
Filed under: Lysobacter sp. CL7.51
Lineage: Bacteria; Pseudomonadati; Pseudomonadota; Gammaproteobacteria; Lysobacterales; Lysobacteraceae
Description: bacterial SSU rRNA
Rfam family: Bacterial small subunit ribosomal RNA
Source: RNAcentral
UUGAGCUUGAUCCCUGGCUCAGAGUGAACGCUGGCGGCAGGCCUAACACAUGCAAGUCGAACGGCAGCACAGGGGAGCUUGCUCCCUGGGUGGCGAGUGGCGGACGGGUGAGGAAUACGUCGGAAUCUGCCUAUUUGUGGGGGAUAACGUAGGGAAACUUACGCUAAUACCGCAUACGACCUACGGGUGAAAGCGGAGGACCUUCGGGCUUCGCGCAGAUAGAUGAGCCGACGUCGGAUUAGCUAGUUGGCGGGGUAAAGGCCCACCAAGGCGACGAUCCGUAGCUGGUCUGAGAGGAUGAUCAGCCACACUGGAACUGAGACACGGUCCAGACUCCUACGGGAGGCAGCAGUGGGGAAUAUUGGACAAUGGGCGCAAGCCUGAUCCAGCCAUGCCGCGUGUGUGAAGAAGGCCUUCGGGUUGUAAAGCACUUUUGUCCGGAAAGAAAAGCACUGGGUUAAUACCCUGGUGUCCAUGACGGUACCGGAAGAAUAAGCACCGCC